GAGGAAGCCUUUUUCUGGUUGUCAGUAUCAUCUUUCCACAGGUUCAAAUCCAGCUCCCAUGGCAGCCAUAGCAUCCGCUGCAGUGUGUGGGGGAUGGCAUGCUCUGUUACUCAAAAGGGUCCAUAUUCAUCCAGGAAUAAACUACUCCAGAAGACAAGAAGUAUUCUGUUCCACUGAAAACAUUAAGCAUCUCUCCGUCUUAUACUGCUAUUUUAAUGAUGGCUUUAACUUUUUAAUUUUUAAAUUAAUUAUUUUUUUUCAGUACUGGGAAUGGAACCCAGCACUCAUGCAUGCUAGGUUGUGACGCAGCAAAGGGGUCCCUGGCAACCAGCGGUGCCAUGCUCUUUGGACUUCCCAACCUUCAGAAUCGAGUCCAAUAAACUUCUUUUCCUAAUACUCCAUCCAG
Long non-coding RNA from Heterocephalus glaber (naked mole-rat), 406 nucleotides. Lineage: Eukaryota; Metazoa; Chordata; Mammalia; Rodentia; Bathyergidae. The record is from Ensembl.